This 82-nucleotide small RNA is filed under the name Flavobacterium omnivorum. RNAcentral describes it as "Flavo-1 RNA". It matches the Rfam family "Flavo-1 RNA". Lineage: Bacteria; Pseudomonadati; Bacteroidota; Flavobacteriia; Flavobacteriales; Flavobacteriaceae. The record is from RNAcentral.
UCCUAGCCCAGAUAGCAGUGAAAAUCCUUUUAUUUUUUUUCUUCAAAAAAAUAAAAGAUUGUAACGAAUAGCUGGAAAUAGC